UUUCGACGUAGGUAUGAGACGGGGUUGAGUGACGAAAAUGUGUUCGCAUAAUUUUUGCACCCCCUGUUUUAUAUAACCGACGACGAACGCGUGCACUUUUCUCCUGGUAGGACGUCGCAAUCCGUUGGGUGUCGGUCUACGGUUCGCGGUGGAGCCCGUUCUGACAAAUCCAUUGAUGAGCGGACCCGUGUUAUUCCUGACCGACUCGCUCGACGGUAUACAAAUGGUAUAUGGCCGCUCAAUUUGAAGCUUUCGACUCGUGGCAAGCGCGCUCGAUGCGUCGGCGGUCGGACCUAGUGCCGAUCCUGACCUCUGGUGACUGUUGGCCACGAUGUUCUCGAAAAGAGCCGAUUACCGAUUUGCGACGCUAUAGCUUUGGGUACUUUCAGGACCCGUCUUGAAACACGGACCAAGGAGUCUAGCAUGUACGCAAGUCAUUGGGAAUCACUAAACCUAAAGGCGCAAUGAAAGUAAAGGUCUUCCUUGUGAGGACCUAGGGAAGAUGUGCGGUUAACGGUUAAAAGUUGCCGUGCCGCAUUCCCGGGGCGUCUCAUUCUCA
RNAcentral lists this ribosomal RNA (559 nucleotides) under Tomicus piniperda (common pine shoot beetle). RNAcentral's name for it is "eukaryotic LSU rRNA". It matches the Rfam family "Eukaryotic large subunit ribosomal RNA", at positions 483 to 779 of the family's 3401-position model. Lineage: Eukaryota; Metazoa; Arthropoda; Insecta; Coleoptera; Curculionidae. The record is from RNAcentral.